RNAcentral lists this ribosomal RNA (253 nucleotides) under uncultured bacterium. Its description in RNAcentral is "partial 16S ribosomal RNA". It matches the Rfam family "Bacterial small subunit ribosomal RNA", at positions 524 to 776 of the family's 1533-position model. The record is from RNAcentral.
UACGUAGGGACCAAGCGUUGUUCGGAUUUACUGGGCGUAAAGCGUGCGCAGGCGGUCUGUUAAGACAGAUGUGAAAUCCCCGGGCUUAACCUGGGAACUGCAUUUGUGACUGGCAGGCUAGAGUAUGGCAGAGGGGGGUAGAAUUCCACGUGUAGCAGUGAAAUGCGUAGAGAUGUGGAGGAAUACCGAUGGCGAAGGCAGCCCCCUGGGCCAAUACUGACGCUCAUGCACGAAAGCGUGGGGAGCAAACAGG